AACACUUUAAACUGAUCUGAACAAACUGCACGAGGCAUUGCAAAUGUUUACUCGGUGUUGUAUUGAUUCUUGACUGGCUGUUAAUUUUAUACAAGCUAAAGACGACCUUAUUUUGAAUAUAAUAUUUAGUAAAGGAAUAUUUGCCAGUGUGACCGAGCGGACGACAUUCUGAAAUAUCUAUCGAGGUUUGAGUCCAAUCGUUAGAACCUUUUUUUUUUUAAAUUUUUUAUUGGUUUUUUUAAAAAUUCAAAAAUAGAACACAAUAAAAAGAGAACUAUGAAAUUGUUUUGUUUUGCUUUUUAAAAAUUAAAGCUUUCCGCGACAAACUUUUUUUGAACACAGUCAGGGGGAUAAAAUAAGUUGUUUCUAUUAAGAA
This is a long non-coding RNA of Hydra vulgaris (swiftwater hydra), 376 nucleotides long. RefSeq lists it as uncharacterized. Lineage: Eukaryota; Metazoa; Cnidaria; Hydrozoa; Anthoathecata; Hydridae. The record is from RefSeq and is a predicted model, not a curated record.